Sinocyclocheilus rhinocerous is the source of this 186-nucleotide long non-coding RNA. RefSeq lists it as uncharacterized. NCBI's taxonomy places the organism in Eukaryota, Metazoa, Chordata, Actinopteri, Cypriniformes, Cyprinidae. The transcript has 2 exons. The record is from RefSeq and is a predicted model, not a curated record.
CCAAAAAACGGAAGAAGAAGAACGUGAACCCCUGCGAUAUACUGAAGGAAACCCGUGUCGUUCUUCCUUUCCCAACAUGGCCCCGAAGGCGAAGAAGGAAGCUGUCCCGGCUAAGACUGAGGCCAAGUCCAAGGCCCUUAAAGCCAAGAAGGCUGUGCUGAAGGGUGUCCACAGCCAGAGGAAGAA